RNAcentral lists this ribosomal RNA (414 nucleotides) under Veillonella parvula. RNAcentral's name for it is "partial 23S ribosomal RNA". It matches the Rfam family "Bacterial large subunit ribosomal RNA", at positions 2498 to 2925 of the family's 2925-position model. Lineage: Bacteria; Bacillati; Bacillota; Negativicutes; Veillonellales; Veillonellaceae. The record is from RNAcentral.
GUCCACAUCGACGGCAAGGUUUGGCACCUCGAUGUCGGCUCAUCGCAUCCUGGGGCUGGAGCAGGUCCCAAGGGUACGGCUGUUCGCCGUUUAAAGCGGUACGCGAGCUGGGUUCAGAACGUCGUGAGACAGUUCGGUCCCUAUCCUCCGUGGGCGCAGGAGAAUCGAUGGAGGCUGCCCCCAGUACGAGAGGACCGGGGUGGACGCACCUCCGGUGAACCGGUUGUCGACCAACGGCACGGCCGGGUAGCCGCGUGCGGCGCGGAUAACCGCUGAAGGCAUCUAAGCGGGAAGCCGUUCCAGGGAUUAGUUCUCCUUCCGGUAAGGGCCCAGGUAGACUACCUGGUCGAUAGACGGCAGGUGCAAGGACGGCGACGUCCUCAGCCGAGCCGCACUAAUCGCCUGAGCUCUUCC